This 28-nucleotide small RNA is filed under the name Arabidopsis thaliana (thale cress). RNAcentral's name for it is "ATSL295260". The record is from RNAcentral. Lineage: Eukaryota; Viridiplantae; Streptophyta; Magnoliopsida; Brassicales; Brassicaceae.
UUUUUUGUAUUUUUUUUUUGUUGUAGAA